RNAcentral lists this ribosomal RNA (467 nucleotides) under uncultured bacterium. Its description in RNAcentral is "partial 16S ribosomal RNA". It matches the Rfam family "Bacterial small subunit ribosomal RNA", at positions 29 to 507 of the family's 1533-position model. The record is from RNAcentral.
ACGAACGCUGGCGGCGUGCUUCACACAUGCAAGUCGAACGGAAAGGCCCUGCUUUUGUGGGGAGCUCGAGUGGCGAACGGGUGAGUAACACGUGAGUAACCUGCCCUUGACUUUGGGAUAACUUCAGGAAACUGGGGCUAAUACCGGAUAGGAGCUCCUGCUGCAUGGUGGGGGUUGGAAAGUUUCGGCGGUUGGGGAUGGACUCGCGGCUUAUCAGCUUGUUGGUGGGGUAGUGGCUUACCAAGGCUUUGACGGGUAGCCGGCCUGAGAGGGUGACCGGCCACAUUGGGACUGAGAUACGGCCCAGACUCCUACGGGAGGCAGCAGUGGGGAAUAUUGCACAAUGGGCGGAAGCCUGAUGCAGCAACGCCGCGUGCGGGAUGACGGCCUUCGGGUUGUAAACCGCUUUCGCCUGUGACGAAGCGUGAGUGACGGUAAUGGGUAAAGAAGCACCGGCUAACUACGUG